GAAUCCCGUCUUUGGCACGGAUGCACCAGGGCUUUUGUGAUGCGCUCUCGAAGAGUCGAGUUGUUUGGGAAUGCAGCUCAAAAUGGGUGGUGAACUCCAUCUAAAGCUAAAUAUUGGCGAGAGACCGAUAGCGAACAAGUACCGUGAGGGAAAGAUGAAAAGCACUUUGGAAAGAGAGUGAAACAGUACGUGAAAUUGUUGAAAGGGAAACGCUUGAAGUCAGUCGCGUCGACCGAGACUCAGCCUUGCCUCGGCUCGGUGUACUUCUCGGCCGACGGGUCAGCAUCAAUUUUGCCCCUCGGAUAAUGGCGAGAGAAAGGUGGCACCCUCACGGGUGUGUUAUAGUCUCCCGUCGGAUGCGAGGGUCGGGAUUGAGGAACUCGGCACGUACCGUGCUUAGGAUGUUGGCAUAAUGGCUUUAAACGACCCGUCUUGAAACACGGACCAAGGAGUCUAACAUGCCCGCGAGUGUUCGGGUGGAAAACCCGUGCGCGUAAUGAAAGUAAAAGUUGGGACCCCUGUCGUGGGGGGCACCGACGCCCGGACCAGACCUUCUGUGACGGAUCUGCGGUAGAGCGUGCAUGUUGGGACCCGAAAGAUGGUGAACUAUGCCUGAAUAGGGUGAAGCCAGAGGAAACUCUGGUGGAGGCUCGUAGCGAUUCUGACGUGCAAAUCGAUCGUCAAAUUUGGGUAUAGGGGCGAAAGACUAAUCGAACCAUCUAGUAGCUGGUUCCUG
Molecule: ribosomal RNA, 736 nt
Filed under: uncultured Russula
Lineage: Eukaryota; Fungi; Basidiomycota; Agaricomycetes; Russulales; Russulaceae
Description: partial 28S ribosomal RNA
Rfam family: Eukaryotic large subunit ribosomal RNA
Source: RNAcentral